RNAcentral lists this long non-coding RNA (612 nucleotides) under Chlamydomonas reinhardtii. Its description in RNAcentral is "long non-coding RNA (CREI_LNC000887)". Lineage: Eukaryota; Viridiplantae; Chlorophyta; Chlorophyceae; Chlamydomonadales; Chlamydomonadaceae. The record is from RNAcentral.
GCCUUGCCAACAUUACUUGUAUGCUUGUUCAAUGCUAUUCUGCGAUUUACAGCACCAUCGGCCGACCUCGACCAAACCGGGUGCCGGUUGGGACCCGCCACCAACCCCGCCCUAGCGGACAUGUCUGAGCACACCCGCCCAACUCAAAUACUCCGCCUGGCCCCGCCGGCCUUGCCAACAUUACUUGUAUGCUUGUUCAAUGCUAUUCUGCGAUAUACAGCACCAUCGGCCGACCUCGACCAAACCGGGUGCCGGCUGGGACCCGCCACAACCCCGCCCUAGCGGACAUGUCUGAGCACACCCGCCCAACUCAAAUACUCCGCCUGGCCCCGCCGGCCUUGCCAACAUUACUUGUAUGCUUGUUCAAUGCUAUUCUGCGAUUUACAGCACCAUCGGCCGACCUCGACCAAACCGGGUGCCGGUUGGGACCCGCCACCAACCCCGCCCUAGCUCCCUGGCAGUGCACGGGGGCCAUACCUUGCGCCUGGGUGGGCAUGUGGAGAUGUUUGCCGGGUCCGCAUUUCGUUAGGAUUCGGGCUACCCCCACUUCAAGGCAGCUUUUGUGAGGUCACUUGGGACCAACUAUAUGAUGAUAGGCAAAUGGAGGAACCG